GCCCCACUAGUCUGGGAUACCACUUGGAAACAGGUGCUAAUACCGGAUAAGAAAGCGGAUCGCAUGAUCAGCUUUUAAAAGGCGGCGUAAGCUGUCGCUAUGGGAUGGCCCCGCGGUGCAUUAGCUAGUUGGUAAGGUAAAGGCUUACCAAGGCGAUGAUGCAUAGCCGAGUUGAGAGACUGAUCGGCCACAUUGGGACUGAGACACGGCCCAAACUCCUACGGGAGGCAGCAGCC
RNAcentral lists this ribosomal RNA (236 nucleotides) under uncultured Lactobacillus sp. RNAcentral's name for it is "partial 16S ribosomal RNA". It matches the Rfam family "Bacterial small subunit ribosomal RNA", at positions 128 to 355 of the family's 1533-position model. Lineage: Bacteria; Bacillati; Bacillota; Bacilli; Lactobacillales; Lactobacillaceae. The record is from RNAcentral.